RNAcentral lists this ribosomal RNA (444 nucleotides) under uncultured bacterium. RNAcentral describes it as "partial 16S ribosomal RNA". It matches the Rfam family "Bacterial small subunit ribosomal RNA", at positions 43 to 523 of the family's 1533-position model. The record is from RNAcentral.
CAUGCCUUACACAUGCAAGUCGAACGGUAACAGGUCUUCGGAUGCUGACGAGUGGCGAACGGGUGAGUAAUACAUCGGAAUCUACCCAGCAGUACGGAAUAACUUUUGGAAACGAAAGAUAAUACCGUAUACAGCUGAGAAGUGAAAGAUUUAUCGCUGUUGGAUGAGCCUAUGCAGGAUUAGCUAGUUGGUGGGGUAAUGGCCUACCAAGGCUAUGAUCCUUAGCUGGUCUGAGAGGAUGAACAGCCACACUGGAACUGAGACACGGUCCAGACUCCUACGGGAGGCAGCAGUGGGGAAUUUUGGACAAUGGGCGAAAGCCUGAUCCAGCGACGCCGCGUGAGUGAUGAAGGCCUUAGGGUUGUAAAGCUCUUUCAGUAGGGAAGAUAGUGACGGUACCUACAGAAGAAGCCCCGGCUAACUUCGUGCCAGCCGCCGCCGUAA